AUUUUAAUAGCUUAUAUAGAGCAUAAUAUUGAAGAUAUUAAGGAAACAAUGUUUUAAAAUA
This 61-nucleotide transfer RNA is filed under the name Asymmetricata circumdata. RNAcentral describes it as "tRNA-Phe". The record is from RNAcentral. Lineage: Eukaryota; Metazoa; Arthropoda; Insecta; Coleoptera; Lampyridae.